CGGGACUUACUUAGCUUGCUUUGUAAGUUUAGUGGCGGACGGGUGAGUAACACGUGAGCAACCUGCCCAGAAGAAGGGGAUAGCUCGAGGAAACUCGAAUUAAUACCAUAUGUGAUCCUGUGAAGCAUUUCGCAGGAAUGAAAGAUGCCUUCGGGUGUCACUUCUGGAUGGGCUCGCGGCCUAUCAGUUAGUUGGUGAGGUAACGGCUCACCAAGGCAAUGACGGGUAGCUGGUCUGAGAGGACGACCAGUCACACUGGAACUGAGACACGGUCCAGACACCUACGGGUGGCAGCAGUCGAGAAUCAUUCGCAAUGGGGGAAACCCUGACGGUGCGACGCCGCGUGGAGGAUGACGGUCUUCGGAUUGUAAACUCCUGUCAUCGAAGAGUAAGGCUUAUGUAUUAAUAGUAUGUAAGAUUGAUAGUAUUCGAAGAGGAAGGGACGGCUAACUUCGUGCCAGCAGCCGCGGUAAUACGAAGGUCCCAAGCGUUGUUCGGAAUCACUGGGCGUAAAGGGAGCGUAGGCGGUGAGGUAAGUCAGAUGUGAAAUUCCAGGGCUCAACCCUGGAACUGCAUCCGAUACUGCCUUACUAGAGUAGUGGAGGGGCAUCUGGAAUUCACGGUGUAGCAGUGAAAUGCGUAGAGAUCGUGAGGAACACUAGUGGCGAAGGCGAGAUGCUGGACACUUACUGACGCUGAGGCUCGAAGGCCAGGGUAGCGAAAGGGAUUAGAUACCCCUGUAGUCCUGGCAGUAAACGGUGCACGUUUGGGUGUGAGAAGGUUCGACCCUUUUCGUGCCGGAG
Molecule: ribosomal RNA, 803 nt
Filed under: Verrucomicrobia bacterium SCGC AAA170-N20
Lineage: Bacteria; Pseudomonadati; Verrucomicrobiota
Description: bacterial SSU rRNA
Rfam family: Bacterial small subunit ribosomal RNA
Source: RNAcentral